CACGUAGUUAGCCGGUGCUUAUUCUUCCGGUACCGUCAUCAGCCCAGGGUAUUAUCCCGAGCCUUUUCUUCCCGAACAAAAGUGCUUUACAACCCGAAGGCCUUCUUCACACACGCGGCAUUGCUGGAUCAGGCUUUCGCCCAUUGUCCAAAAUUCCCCACUGCUGCCUCCCGUAGGAGUCUGGGCCGUGUCUCAGUCCCAGUGUGGCUGGUCGUCCUCUCAGACCAGCUACAGAUCGUCGCCUUGGUAGGCCUUUACCCCACCAACUAGCUAAUCUGCCAUCGGCCGCCCCUAUAGCGAGAGGUCCGAAGAUCCCCCCCUUCCUGCGUACAGCGUAUGCGGUAUUAAUCCGGCUUUCGCCGGGCUAUCCCCCACUACAGGACACGUUCCGAUGUAUUACUCACCCGUUCGCCACUCGUCAGCGGAGCAAGCUCCCUGUUACCGUUCGACUUGCAUGUGUAAGGCAUGCCGCCAGCGUUCAAUCUGAGCCAGGAUCAAACUCU
This 503-nucleotide ribosomal RNA is filed under the name uncultured Burkholderiales bacterium. RNAcentral's name for it is "partial 16S ribosomal RNA". The record is from RNAcentral. Lineage: Bacteria; Pseudomonadati; Pseudomonadota; Betaproteobacteria; Burkholderiales.